Molecule: transfer RNA, 76 nt
Filed under: Vitis pseudoreticulata
Lineage: Eukaryota; Viridiplantae; Streptophyta; Magnoliopsida; Vitales; Vitaceae
Description: tRNA-Val
Source: RNAcentral
CUACAUGAUAAAAUAUGUAUCACAAGUACAAGGGCUAUAGCUCAGUUAGGUAGAGCACCUCGUUUACACACCGAGA